GAUCGUUUGAUCAUGGCUCAGAACGAACGCUGGCGGCAGGCCUAACACAUGCAAGUCGAACGGACGUAGCAAUACGUUAGUGGCGCACGGGAGAGUAACGCGUGGGAACUACCUUUUGGUUCGGGAUAACAUCGGGAAACUGGUGCUAAUACCGGAUAAGCCCUUCGGGGGAAAGAUUUAUUGCCGAAAGAUGGGCCCGCGUUGGAUUAGCUAGUUGGUGAGGUAAUGGCUCACCAAGGCAACGAUCCAUAGCUGGUCUGAGAGGAUGAUCAGCCUUACUGGGACUGAGACACGGCCCAGACUCCUACGGGAGGCAGCAGUGGGGAAUAUCGGACAAUGGGGGAAACCCUGAUCCAGCCAUGCCGCGUGAAUGAUGAAGGCCUUCGGGUUGUAAAGUUCUUUUGGUGGGGACGAUGAUGACGGUACCCACAGAAUAAGCUCCGGCUAACUUCGUGCCAGCAGCCGCGGUAAUACGAAGGGAGCUAGCGUUGUUCGGAAUUACUGGGCGUAAAGGGCGCGUAGGCGGUUUGACAAGUUGGAUGUGAAAGCCCUGGGCUCAACCCGGGAAUUGCAUUCAAGACUGUCUUACUUGAAUUCGGUAGAGGUGAGUGGAAUUCCCAGUGUAGAGGUGAAAUUCGUAGAGAUUGGGAAGAACACCAGUGGCGAAGGCGGCUCACUGGACCGACAUUGACGCUGAGGCGCGAAAGCGUGGGGAUCAAACAGGAUUAGAUACCCUGGUAGUCCACGCCGUAAACGAUGCAUGCUAGACGUUGGAGACCUCAGGUUUCCAGUGUCGCAGCUAACGCAAUGAGCAUGCCGC
Molecule: ribosomal RNA, 820 nt
Filed under: uncultured bacterium
Lineage: Bacteria
Description: bacterial SSU rRNA
Rfam family: Bacterial small subunit ribosomal RNA
Source: RNAcentral